CAAAAAACAUGGCAAGGUUAUGUCGCAGCUUUGCCUGUCUGAAUGGUCGGGACUGGGCGUUUGGACGAGAUCUCCAGUGAGGUCCAUGUUCGGUUUCUUGGCAGGCCAUCAGGAUGGAUCAACAUUUCUGGGCAGAUUCAAGCUUGACUGUGUGGAUGGAAACUGCUGGCCAUGCAGUUUUCAUGUACCGAAACCUAAAAGUCUGUAGUUUCUUCGAUCCAAUGUGUUAAGUGAAAAAGCAAGUUUUACAAAUAUUUUACCACGAACUCCAAAUUUGAUCAAUGAGCAGCUGGAAAUCAUUGGGUGGACUCCGGUGAGUGUUUUGGAGCUAGGAGGGGAGGUUGAAUGGAUUGGAUCUCUUGGUGGAAGUGUGGUUGAGUUUUGGGAGCUUGAGAGCUUGAGCUCAAGUGAGCUUUAAUGGUGGAGUUGAAGAAGAUGAGGAUGAAGAAGGAAGGAGGGAGGGGAAUGCUACUGACUUAGAGAGUGUGAGGAGAAGGUAUUUUCAGAGUCUCCGAGAGCGUGAUUGAGAGGAGGAAUUAGAAUGGAGUGUAAUGGUGGUUUUUUGCCAAAAAGAGAGAUGGAGUAUGAACUUAAACAAGGGUUCAGUGGGGUUAUGGUGUGAUGAUUACUAACAAUUUUGGAGGCCAAAUGGGGUGGGGGUUGAGGCAAUGCUUGCUGCAAUUCGUACUAGGUGUGAGGGAGUGUGUGAGGAGGGGUUUAAAGCAAGUAUAUAGUGUGCAUAUGGAUAAAAAAGGUGGGGUUGAGUGUGGGUUUGGAGAAUGGAAGGUGAGUGUUAUGAUUAGGGCGAUCUAGGGCCAAAUUAGGGGACAUUUUAGGUGGUGAUAUAGAGACCAAAAUUCCUGAAGCUCAUGGAAGAUUGAAAGGUCAAAUAAGAUGUGUAGGAGGAUUAUGGCUCGUUCCAGUCAUGAUGCUUGACGGGUGUUCGGCUAACAAUGCAAUGCGACGAAAAUCAUCUAAUAAACUAAAUUAACAAUUAGUCAUGAAGAAUUCAUUUUACUAAUUUUAAAUUUGAAAUAGAAUAAUAAUUAUCAAUAUUCGGAAUUUGAAUUUGCGCAAUUAAUAAUGUAUGCGGAGAAUGCAGUCCUUACAUGUGAGACAUGAUUGAAUUAUGGAUUCAAAAGGAUUGGCAAAAACAGUUUGAAUUACUAGGAAAAUGAUAUCCCAUUGCUUUUUUUUUUUCCCCCAGUUUAAAUAAUGUAUACCUUUUGAUAUGAACACAGAAUCACGAACUACAUAAAUGCUUUGGGAUUCCUUGAUAUUGUUUCGACCCUUUCUCGAUAUCGUCUAUCAUAGAAUUGCCAUGUGGCACGUGUCCCACAGAUUUGCUUGAUGAAUGAAUAAAGAACGUCAAUAGACUCAAUACUCUAGUUCUCAUCAUGUUAUGUGGCACUCUAUGUCUUUUGAGCUGGUUAUUGUGGCAUUUUUCUCAUCUAGCUAAAUUGCAUCAUUUCUCCUUGUUCUUGGAGUGUUUGUCCACUUUGGGCCGAAGUACAAAAAAGAAAUAAAGAGAGGAUAA
Rhododendron vialii is the source of this 1537-nucleotide long non-coding RNA. RefSeq lists it as uncharacterized. The record is from RefSeq and is a predicted model, not a curated record. The transcript is spliced from 2 exons. NCBI's taxonomy places the organism in Eukaryota, Viridiplantae, Streptophyta, Magnoliopsida, Ericales, Ericaceae.